Manis javanica (Malayan pangolin) is the source of this 1064-nucleotide non-coding RNA. The record is from RefSeq and is a predicted model, not a curated record. Lineage: Eukaryota; Metazoa; Chordata; Mammalia; Pholidota; Manidae.
AUGGAGGUCUAUAGUUCUUGGAAGUGGGCCAGGGGCUUCCGGCAAGGGCAAGUGAGCUAGAAUUUCAAGUUUCUGGGAAGCAGCUUUUAGGAAGUUAACCUGGAGGGUGGAGGGCGGCUCAGGAACGCCGAGUCUCGCUGGCGCCGUGCCGUUUCCGGGUGUUGGGGAGGCUCGCGGGCCGAGCCUCAUGGGUCCUUGUGCGUUUGUCCGGCAGUGCGGUUGCCUCCGUCUCCGGAGCCCGAGGACCCCGAAGGCCGAGCGCCCGCUCCCCGGGCCUGCUGUGUGGAGCGCGCACACCCGAGGGAACUGGAUGGCAGAUUACUGGCAGAGUAUUAAAGCCGGAGCAGCAACCCACGCUGAGGUUGCAAAUCAGUGAAGGGUUGCUGGUACGUGAUGACCAACUGCUGAGCAUUGGAGCACACAGCAAGCAGAGUGUCGGCCAGUCAUGAGUUGAGGCUAUCCUCUGAUCAGAACUGUUGUCGUCUGCCUCCAGCGUCCGCUGAGCACCUCCGUCCAUUCCCGUGGGGUUUGCGUGCUGCAGAAUGGUGAUAAGUACAGUCCUGAAGCGGUGGCGGCGUCAGCUUCAAAGAGGUUCUUCUCCUAGAGGAUGGUCAGCUGUGCCUGCAGCAGGGGCAGUGAGACGUCCCAAGGGCCAGUGGCCACCAUCAGUUUGGACUCGAAACCUAAUAUAGUCAAUAAUGUAAUAACUUUGUAUGUGGUGAGCAUUUUGUAAUGUACAUAAAUGUGGAAUGCUAUGUUGUAUACCUGAAGCUAAUAAUGCGUCGACUGUACUUAAGUUAGGAAAACAACCUCUAAGGUUCAAUACUUGAUGUAGAAAUAUGCUUAAUGCUGAGAUUCAGAGGCCAUUCUUAUCAAUAAUAGAGCCAAGAAAUGUAUUUGCAUCAUUAAAUUCAUGAGUGUUCUAGUGUUUUCCUUUGUUCCAAAGGAACUUCUGUAUUUAGUAUAAAUUUGUUACACUGGAUGAGAGUCUUGAGUUCUUGAAGCUGGAAACUUUUCCUCUCAAAAUUGGUAACUCCAUGCAAUUAAACUGACACUGUAAUAAA